Molecule: ribosomal RNA, 481 nt
Filed under: uncultured bacterium
Lineage: Bacteria
Description: partial 16S ribosomal RNA
Rfam family: Bacterial small subunit ribosomal RNA
Source: RNAcentral
GAUGAACGCUGGCGGCGUGCUUAACACAUGCAAGUCGAACGAAGCAUUUAGAACAGAUUACUUCGGUUUGCAGUUCUUUAUGACUGAGUGGCGGACGGGUGAGUAACGCGUGGGUAACCUGCCUUGUACUGGGGGAUAGCAGCUGGAAACGGCUGGCAAUACCGCAUAAGCGCACAAUGUUGCAUGACAUGGUGUGAAAAACUCCGGUGGUAUAAGAUGGACCCGCGUCUGAUUAGCUAGUUGGUGAGAUAACAGCCCACCAAGGCGACGAUCAGUAGCCGACCUGAGAGGGUGACCGGCCACAUUGGGACUGAGACACGGCCCAGACUCCUACGGGAAGCAGCAGUAGGGAAUAUUGCACAAUGGAGGAAACUCUGAUGCAGCGACGCCGCGUGAGUGAAGAAGUAAUUCGUUAUGUAAAGCUCUAUCAGCAGGGAAGAUAGUGACGGUACCUGACGAAGAAGCUCCGGCUAAAUACGUG